Molecule: non-coding RNA, 490 nt
Organism: Prunus avium (sweet cherry)
Lineage: Eukaryota; Viridiplantae; Streptophyta; Magnoliopsida; Rosales; Rosaceae
Source: RefSeq, a predicted model, not a curated record
GCAGAGUCGAGAUUGAAAAAGAAACUCAUGCAUGCGAUGUGCCUGUGGUCUAGAACUUAUUGCUUUGGACAAAAUGUUUAAUGAGGAAAAGUGUUUUCCAUCAACUUCUAAGAGAAGCACUUCUCGUAGAGAAUACUUUUCCUGGCUAGUCAAGCUCUGCGUCCUGUCUCUUCGAAGAAAGAGAGUUGAAGUGCUUUUAUUAGUGACCUUUCGAUGUGUACUUGCUACUUGGGGAUCUAUUUGUAUAGGGAAUAAUGGGAUGAGAGAAGCGAGAUAAAUUUAGUUUGAUGGUGAGAACCAAUUUGUUCUUUCUUGUCAUACUCUUGUACUCUUUUGAUUAAGUGAAUUAUCAUUGGCAUCGUCGCCCAUGGAUGUAGCCCAACUUUGGGUGAACCACGUUAAAUAUGGUGUUUCAUUUUGUGUUUACUUUUCUUGCGUUUGGUUUGUGGUCUCGAACUAGAGAGUUAAAUUAAAUGUGACAAAUUCCUUA